RNAcentral lists this ribosomal RNA (743 nucleotides) under uncultured bacterium. RNAcentral describes it as "bacterial SSU rRNA". It matches the Rfam family "Bacterial small subunit ribosomal RNA", at positions 8 to 796 of the family's 1533-position model. The record is from RNAcentral.
AGAGUUUGAUCAUGGCUCAGAACGAACGCUGGCGGCAUGCCUAACACAUGCAAGUCGAACGAGACCUUCGGGUCUAGUGGCGCACGGGGUGCGUAACGCGUGGGAAUCUGCCCUUUGGUUCGGAAUAACUCAGGGAAACUUGAGCUAAUACCGGGAUAAUGACUUCGGUCCAAAGAUUUUAUUGCCAAAGGAUGAGCCCGCGUAGGGAUUAGCUAGUUGGUGAGGUAAAGGCUCACCAAGGCGACGAUCCUUAGCUGGUCUGAGAGGAUGAUCAGCCACACUGGGACUGAGACACGGCCCAGACUCCUACGGGAGGCAGCAGUGGGGGAAUAUUGGACAAUGGGCGAAAGCCUGAUCCAGCAAUGCCGCGUGAGUGAUGAAGGCCUUAGGGUUGUAAAGCUCUUUUACCCGGGAAGAUAAUGACUGUACCGGGAGAAUAAGCUCCGGCUAACUCCGUGCCAGCAGCCGCGGUAAUACGGAGGGAGCUAGCGUUUCGGAAUUACUGGGCAUAAAGCGCACGUAGGCGGCUUUGUAAGUUAGAGGUGAAAGCCCGGGGCUCAACUCCGGAAUUGCCUUUAAGACUGCAUCGCUUGAAUCCGGGAGAGGUGAGUGGAAUUCCGAGUGUAGAGGUGAAAUUCGUAGAUAUUCGGAAGAACACCAGUGGCGAAGGGGCUCACUGGACCGGUAUUGACGCUGAGUGCGAAAGCGUGGGGAGCAAACAGGAUUAGAUACCCUAGUAGUCC